CUACGGGCUGCAGCAGUGAGGAAUAUUGCACAAUGGGGGGAACCAUGAUGCAGCAACGCCGCGUGGAGGAUGACGCAUUUCGGUGUGUAAACUCCUUUUAUAUGUCAAGAAAAUGACGGUAGCAUAUGAAUAAGCACCGGCUAACUCCGUGCCAGCAGCCGUGGUAAUACGGAGGGUGCAAGCGUUACUCGGAAUCACUGGGCGUAAAGGACGCGUAGGCGGGUUGGAAAGUCAGGUGUGAAAUCCUACAGCUUAACUGUAGAACUGCACUUGAAACUUCUAAUCUAGAGUAUGGGAGGGGGAGAUGGAAUUAGUGGUGUAGGGGUAAAAUCCGUAGAUAUCACUAGGAAUACCUAAAGCGAAGGCGAUCUCCUGGAACAUUACUGACGCUAAGGCGUGAAAGCGUGGGGAGCAAACAGGAUUAGAUACCCCUGUAGUC
This 439-nucleotide ribosomal RNA is filed under the name uncultured bacterium. Its description in RNAcentral is "partial 16S ribosomal RNA". It matches the Rfam family "Bacterial small subunit ribosomal RNA", at positions 339 to 795 of the family's 1533-position model. The record is from RNAcentral.